AGCCUCAGGAAAAUAUCUGAGGUCAAACCUGCCCAAUGUAAAAAGUAUUAAUGGCCGCGGUACUUUGACCGUGCUAAGGUAGCGUAAUCAGUUGGCUUUUAAUUGGGGUCAGGAAUGAAUGGAAUUUCGUAGUUUUCCUGUCUCUGAUAUAAUUAUUCGAAAUUACUAUGGAGGUGAAAAAGCCUUCAUUAAAAAAAAAGACGAGAAGACCCUUAGAGUUUUACUAAGAAUAAAUAAAAAGAAAUAAUUGGUAAUUACUUCAGUUUGGUUGGGGCAACAUAGGAGAAAACGUUAAACUUGAUAACCUCCCAAAAUAGAGAUAAACCGAUUAUAAUAAAUUUGGAUAAACUACCUUAGGGAUAACAGCAUUAUUUUAAUAAUAAGUUUGUGACCUCGAUGUUGGACUGGGAACCUAAAAGGCUAGCCGUUUUUUAGUGAGGUUCUGUUCGAACUGUAAAUUCCC
RNAcentral lists this ribosomal RNA (463 nucleotides) under Thorunna daniellae. RNAcentral's name for it is "partial 16S ribosomal RNA". It matches the Rfam family "Archaeal large subunit ribosomal RNA", at positions 1920 to 2666 of the family's 2987-position model. Lineage: Eukaryota; Metazoa; Mollusca; Gastropoda; Nudibranchia; Chromodorididae. The record is from RNAcentral.